AGCCGGCCAAGCUUGUCCGCAACUUCCUUCAUGGAUGGCCUUUCCUCGCCACUCAUCUCCAAGUACUGGCGCGCUAGCUCUGCGAUCGAUCUCUUCAACAAUCUCCGCGCUAUCGCGCGCUGUCCUUGACCUGAUCGUCCAAGAUCUCGUCGAGCCUUUGCCCCUUCAUCGCCUCCAAGAACAUCAGAGACAGCGCCUUCUCGUGCUCAGGGGCUUCCAGGUUGAACAACGCCUUCUUGCGAGUCAGCAGCUCUAGGAGACAGCAACCAGUGAGCAAGCUUGCUGCCUGCCCUGCCCGUGCCCGAC
Molecule: long non-coding RNA, 306 nt
Filed under: Setaria italica (foxtail millet)
Lineage: Eukaryota; Viridiplantae; Streptophyta; Magnoliopsida; Poales; Poaceae
Description: long non-coding RNA (SITA_LNC000948)
Source: RNAcentral